CGCCUGUUUAUCAAAAACAUGGCUCUCUGUAUAUUGAAGAUAGAGAGUCGGACCUGCCCGGUGAAUUUUUUAACGGCCGCGGUACUCUGACCGUGCAAAGGUAGCAUAAUCAUUUGCCUUAUAAUUGAAGGCUAGAAUGAAUGGUUUGACAAGAAUACAACUGUCUCUUUACAAUUACAUAAAAUUUUAUCUGCAGUUGAAGAAGCCUGCAUUUGAAUAAAAGACAAGAAGACCCUAUCGAGCUUAAAAAAAACUGGUGGAAUAACAAACUUAAUCCUAACUUAUAAAUAAAUAAAUAGUCAACUACUGGAAAUUUUGGUUGGGGCGACCGGGGAUCAAAGGGAAACUUCCUUUAUAAAAAUUUAGAUGCCCAAAUAUUGAUCCAGCAUUAUAUGAUUAAAGAAAUUAGUUACCUUUUGAUAACAGCAUUAUCUUUUUUAAGAGUUCUUAUGGAAAGCACUUUGUGACCUCGAUGUUGGACCAGAAUAUCCUAAAGAUGCAGCCGUCUUUAAGG
RNAcentral lists this ribosomal RNA (514 nucleotides) under Turbinella pyrum. RNAcentral describes it as "partial 16S ribosomal RNA". It matches the Rfam family "Bacterial large subunit ribosomal RNA", at positions 1797 to 2570 of the family's 2925-position model. Lineage: Eukaryota; Metazoa; Mollusca; Gastropoda; Neogastropoda; Turbinellidae. The record is from RNAcentral.